GUGAGGAAUAUUGGUCAAUGGGCGAGAGCCUGAACCAGCCAAGUCGCGUGAAGGAAGAAGGAUCUAUGGUUCGUAAACUUCUUUUGCAGGGGAAUAAAGUGCAGGACGUGUCCUGUUUUGUAUGUACCCUGAGAAUAAGGAUCGGCUAACUCCGUGCCAGCAGCCGCGGUAAUACGGAGGAUCCGAGCGUUAUCCGGAUUUAUUGGGUUUAAAGGGUGCGUAGGUGGUUUGAUAAGUCAGCGGUGAAAGUUUGCAGCUUAACUGUAAAAAUGCCGUUGAAACUGUCGGACUUGAGUGUAAAUGAGGUAGGCGGAAUGCGUGGUGUAGCGGUGAAAUGCAUAGAGAUCACGCAGAACUCCGAUUGCGAAGGCAGCUUACUAAGCUACAACUGACACUGAAGCACGAAAGCGUGGGGAACAAACAGGAUUAGAAACCCUGGUAGUCC
Molecule: ribosomal RNA, 445 nt
Filed under: uncultured bacterium
Lineage: Bacteria
Description: partial 16S ribosomal RNA
Rfam family: Bacterial small subunit ribosomal RNA
Source: RNAcentral